UACGGGGGGGGCAAGCGUUGUUCGGAAUUACUGGGCGUAAAGGGCUUGUAGGUGGCCAACUAAGUCCGACGUGAAAUCCCUAGGCUUAACCUAGGAACUGCGUCGGAUACUGGAUGGCUUGAAUCCGGGAGAGGGAUGCGGAAUUCCAGGUGUAGCGGUGAAAUGCGUAGAUAUCUGGGGGAACACCGGUGGCGAAGGCGGCAUCCUGGACCGGUAUUGACACUGAAAAGCGAAAGCCAGGGGAGCAAACGGG
RNAcentral lists this ribosomal RNA (253 nucleotides) under uncultured bacterium. Its description in RNAcentral is "partial 16S ribosomal RNA". It matches the Rfam family "Bacterial small subunit ribosomal RNA", at positions 524 to 776 of the family's 1533-position model. The record is from RNAcentral.